UUUCCGUAGGUGAACCUGCGGAAGGAUCAUUAUUGAUUUUAAAAAGAUGUGCUGGCCUUUCAGGCAUGUGCACUCUUUAACAAAACCAAUAUCCACCUGUGCACUAUCUGUAGGCAAAAUUUUGCCUAUGUCUCUUUACAAACAACCUUUGAUGUAUUUGAAUGGUUUAUCAAUAUUUGUAAAACAACUUUCAACAAUGGAUCUCUUGGUUCUCGCAUCGAUGAAGAACGCAGC
RNAcentral lists this unclassified non-coding RNA (234 nucleotides) under uncultured fungus. Its description in RNAcentral is "sequence contains ITS1, 5.8S rRNA gene". The stretch from base 186 to 234 matches the Rfam family "5.8S ribosomal RNA", at positions 1 to 49 of the family's 154-position model. Lineage: Eukaryota; Fungi. The record is from RNAcentral.